GACGAACGCUGGCGGCGUGCUUAACACAUGCAAGUCGAACGGUAAGGCCCUUCGGGGUACACGAGUGGCGAACGGGUGAGUAACACGUGGGUGAUCUGCCCUGCACUUCGGGAUAAGCCUGAGAAACUGGGUCUAAUACCGGAUAGGACCACUGCCUGCAUGGGUGGUGGUGGAAAGCUUUUGCGGUGUGGGAUGGGGCCGCGGCCUAUCAGCUUGUUGGUGGGGUGGUGGCCUACCAAGGCGACGACGGGUAGCCGGCCUGAGAGGGUGACCGGCCACACUGGGACUGAGAUACGGCCCAGACUCCUACGGGAGGCAGCAGUGGGGAAUAUUGCACAAUGGGCGCAAGCCUGAUGCAGCGACGCCGCGUGAGGGAUGACGGCCUUCGGGUUGUAAACCUCUUUCAGCACCGACGAAGCGCAAGUGACGGUAGGUGCAGAAGAAGGACCGGCCAACUACGUGCCAGCAGCCGCCGUAA
Molecule: ribosomal RNA, 478 nt
Filed under: uncultured bacterium
Lineage: Bacteria
Description: partial 16S ribosomal RNA
Rfam family: Bacterial small subunit ribosomal RNA
Source: RNAcentral